This 292-nucleotide ribosomal RNA is filed under the name uncultured bacterium. Its description in RNAcentral is "partial 16S ribosomal RNA". It matches the Rfam family "Bacterial small subunit ribosomal RNA", at positions 505 to 796 of the family's 1533-position model. The record is from RNAcentral.
GUGCCAGCCGCCGCGGUAAUACGGAGGGUGCAAGCGUUAAUCGGAAUUACUGGGCGUAAAGCGCACGCAGGCGGUCUGUUAAGUCAGAUGUGAAAUCCCCGGGCUUAACCUGGGAACUGCAUUUGAAACUGGCAGGCUUGAGUCUCGUAGAGGGGGGUAGAAUUCCAGGUGUAGCGGUGAAAUGCGUAGAGAUCUGGAGGAAUACCGGUGGCGAAGGCGGCCCCCUGGACGAAGACUGACGCUCAGGUGCGAAAGCGUGGGGAGCAAACAGGAUUAGAUACCCUAGUAGUCC